AGUGAACGCUGGCGGUAGGCCUAACACAUGCAAGUCGAACGGCAGCACAGUAAGAGCUUGCUCUUACGGGUGGCGAGUGGCGGACGGGUGAGGAAUACAUCGGAAUCUACUUUUUCGUGGGGGAUAACGUAGGGAAACUUACGCUAAUACCGCAUACGACCUACGGGUGAAAGCAGGGGAUCUUCGGACCUUGCGCGAUUGAAUGAGCCGAUGUCGGAUUAGCUAGUUGGCGGGGUAAAGGCCCACCAAGGUGACGAUCCGUAGCUGGUCUGAGAGGAUGAUCAGCCACACUGGAACUGAGACACGGUCCAGACUCCUACGGGAGGCAGCAGUGGGGAAUAUUGGACGAUGGGCGCAAGCCUGAUCCAGCCAUACCGCGUGGGUGAAGAAGGCCUUCGGGUUGUAAAGCCCUUUUGUUGGGAAAGAAAAGCAGCAGGUUAAUACCCCGCUGUUCUGACGGUACCCAAAGAAUAAGCACCGGCUAACUUCGUG
This 492-nucleotide ribosomal RNA is filed under the name uncultured bacterium. RNAcentral describes it as "partial 16S ribosomal RNA". It matches the Rfam family "Bacterial small subunit ribosomal RNA", at positions 29 to 507 of the family's 1533-position model. The record is from RNAcentral.